Non-coding RNA from Sturnus vulgaris (Common starling), 545 nucleotides. Lineage: Eukaryota; Metazoa; Chordata; Aves; Passeriformes; Sturnidae. The record is from RefSeq and is a predicted model, not a curated record.
UUCAUAGUAUUCCCUGGCCAAGAUGAGAUGCUCUUCCCUAACACCUAUGAUUCCUCCUGUGGAUCCAGCUCUAGCAUGAAGUACAAGCAUAUUUGCUGAAGGCAGUAACCAAAUGUCAAGCUGCAGUUUUGUGCAAAUUUCAUGUGCCAACUUCCCUUUUCUAAGAUCAUCGAUGGGACUGCAGGACUGUAGUUUCCCUGUCACCUUACUUAGUGGGACUCCUGGACAUACAACAAUUCCCAAAAAGGGAGUGCUGUUCCACCAGCAGACUUUCCAUCUGGAUGGCCCUGGCUUCUACUCCUGGUGAACACCAUUUGAACCAAACUGUACAGAAUGAUGGCCUUUGCUGUCAGAGGUGAAGUACCAAACAAAGAAGAAAGCAGGAAAUGAGGAGCUGGUAGCCUUUUGACUACAGGGAUUCAGUAAGUCAGCAAAAGUACAUUAAUUGGCUUGAUUGUUGGUCUGCUGCUGGCAAUGUCUGGCUCAGCAAUGAACCAGCUGGGUGGCCGUGCAUUUCUUUAUUUGAUAAGUCAAACACAAAGUCU